GCCGCCAUGGUGAAAUUGGUAGACACGCUGCUCUUAGGAAGCAGUGCUCAAGCAUCUCGGUUCGAAUC
This 68-nucleotide transfer RNA is filed under the name Aegilops markgrafii. RNAcentral's name for it is "partial tRNA-Leu". It matches the Rfam family "tRNA", at positions 1 to 59 of the family's 71-position model. From Rfam's summary of the family: Transfer RNA (tRNA) molecules are approximately 80 nucleotides in length. Their secondary structure includes four short double-helical elements and three loops (D, anti-codon, and T loops). Lineage: Eukaryota; Viridiplantae; Streptophyta; Magnoliopsida; Poales; Poaceae. The record is from RNAcentral.